GGGCAGGUGGCAGAGCGGUCGAUUGCGCACGCUUGGAAAGCGUGUGUACCUCACGGUACCGGGGGUUCGAAUCCCCCCCUGCCCG
This 85-nucleotide transfer RNA is filed under the name Methylacidiphilales bacterium. RNAcentral describes it as "Candidatus Methylacidiphilales bacterium tRNA-Ser". It matches the Rfam family "tRNA". Rfam says of the family: Transfer RNA (tRNA) molecules are approximately 80 nucleotides in length. Their secondary structure includes four short double-helical elements and three loops (D, anti-codon, and T loops). The record is from RNAcentral. Lineage: Bacteria; Pseudomonadati; Verrucomicrobiota; Methylacidiphilae; Methylacidiphilales.